Lutra lutra (Eurasian river otter) is the source of this 381-nucleotide long non-coding RNA. RefSeq lists it as uncharacterized. NCBI's taxonomy places the organism in Eukaryota, Metazoa, Chordata, Mammalia, Carnivora, Mustelidae. The record is from RefSeq and is a predicted model, not a curated record. The transcript has 3 exons.
GCUUCCCUUUGAGAAAAAUGUGAGUAGGGAAGGAAAUAUGACAAACACAUUCAGCACUUUCCCAAGGCCUCAUAAUUAGAAUAGAAAUGGAAUUUGAAUCCUGACGCCUGAGGUUUAAGCAUAGGACACUUCAUUACGCCACAGCUUCCUCUGAGGGGAAGUCAUUGCAGGGAAUGAUCUGGACUCUUAUCAAACACCUUGCUCUCCAGUGCUUGUCUGAGAUCCAGAAAGAGGUCAAGUCCAUUGACACACCAGCAGAGUUUAGGUGGAUUACUCAUCUCGUUCCUCCCCCAGAGGAAAUGGACAGACUGCACUCAACAGGCACAUGGUACAGGAAACCCGCGCGGUUAGAGAGAAACUGUGGAGAAAGCAAGCCUGGAG